Biomphalaria glabrata is the source of this 2943-nucleotide long non-coding RNA. RefSeq lists it as uncharacterized. Lineage: Eukaryota; Metazoa; Mollusca; Gastropoda; Planorbidae. The transcript has 2 exons. The record is from RefSeq and is a predicted model, not a curated record.
AUCUUGUUAAGGCAAUUCACCGGUUUAUUUAUAAUCACCAACACAUUUCCAGUAUGAAUUUUUGUUCGGGUUUACCCACCAGGCCAACACUAGAGAAGGGGGCGGUUAGGUUUGAUAGUAUAUACUAGUAUAUAGCUUGUGGGCACUUGAGAAUCUGGAUAGUAUUCUGAUUCAACUGCAUCAGAUUCGUUUGACUUAAAGAAAGGAUCGUGUUUCAGUAAAACAUCCUAAAAACCAGUGCUACAAUCAGUGCUACAAUCAGUGCUACUGCCUGUUAUUUCCAGUGCUACAAAGCCUUUACAAUGGAUCCAGCCCUAAUUGCUCUGAUUUGUAUAGGUGUCGUCAUCGGUUUGAUUGGCUGUUCCUUUGUCCUUGUCUGGAUGACCAAGAAACGCGGAGACUUCACCGGACAGCCCACAGUUUUACCUCACAGAAAUAUUGCACCUUACGGAAAGAUCGCACCACUAUGGCUGAUUCGUCCCUGCGACGCAAAGAGAGCGCCCAUCUACAAAGGCUUAAGCGUUCAUACUAAGCCCAUCUACAAGCUUCCUGUCCAGAUGUCCUCCAAAAGAGAUGAGUGCGUGGUGCAGCUUCUGCCCGGCUUGUGCUUGGAUAAGGCAGACGUAGUCUAGAGAACAGUCUUGUCAAACAGUAUCACCAGAGUAACUUUGAGGAAACAUUUCUUGUUCACUAAAUUGUCCACAUAUUUCUCAAGCGUCUCGUGCCUUUGGAGUGAGAUGGUGUCAAUAUAGAAGUGACUGGAAUGCUAUCUAGAGUCAAUCAUUCGGGGAUGUUAAACACUUUCGUUCAACUCUAGAACUGUCACAGUGUCUUGGACAAAGGAAUCGCAACGCUUUAAACUUGUUUUCGUACAAUGUAAUCUGAAUACGGAUUUCCAAGAAUCUUCAGAUUAACAUUUUGGACUAAGAAAUUCCAAAAAUGUACCGUUCAAUAUUUUUUACUUGGAAAUUCCUAGAAUGUACAGUUCAACAUUUUGGACUAAGAAAUUCAGAAAAUGUACAGUUUAACAUUGUGGACUAGGAAAUUCCGAAAAUGUACAGUUCAACUUUUUGGACGAUGGAAUUCCGAUAAGGUUUAGCUUAAUUCAUAGAGAUGAAUGUUGAAAUUCUGAAAUUGACCUUUAUGAGAGGCGAAUUAAGUGCGAAUUUGUUGAAAGCUAAUACUAAAAUUAUCUUGUUGAAAUGACGCGGACCUUGAAGAUAUAAAUAGCCCAUCACGUGACUAGACUUCAAGAUAAACCAGUAUUUGACUAAAUCAGUGAAAUGACUGUACAGGGACAGUUUUUCGUCCACGGUUCCUUCCAAACGUUCAAGGGGAGAUCAUAGUGAAUAAAUUUGAGUCACUCUCCAUAAAGAUCGAACUCUGUGCAGGGCACACCAUGGUCAAAUAGUUGUAACUGACCUUCCAGUCUUUCAAAAAGUAUUCUUUUAUCCUUUAAAUUUUGUUUUUAGUAGUUAUUGUUGCUCAUGAUUUUCAUCUUCUGUAGUUUGAUUAAUUCAUCAAUUGUUUAGAUUGCUCAUGCGUAACUUUGAGGUUUAGCGACAUUUGUAAGUAGCAGUAUUAAUUUCAAACAUGCAUUUGUAAAAAAAUAAGACUUUAAAAAAAUGAAAUUUUUUUAUUUUUUUUUCAUGCUAAUAAGAUCUUGCCAAACAUGCCCAAGCGUCUUUGCUUAAGAAAUACAUCUCUAGAAUUGAAUUUAUGUGUAUAUAUAACUGAAGAGUAGUUGAGUCUUUUCUUUCACGGUUAUUGUUUUUGUUUUUUAAAUUUAUUUUUGUAUGCAUUCAUCGAUUUUCAAAUGCGAGCUCCAUAUUUCGACUCUUCCUUUUUACUUUGUGUUCAUUGACCUCCAGAGGGCAACGGCUUUGUCUGCAUCAGUUGUGGAAAAAAAUGCAGGUCGCAAACGGGUUGGCAUAGUCAUGUGAAAUUAAUCUUUAAUCUUGGGAAUCGAAGACAUUGCCUCUAUAACUUUCAUUUUUCUUUUUCUUUGACUGACGAAUAGCAGAUACUGAUUUUACUCGACAAUGGAUCGAAUGGCACACAUAAUAAUUAAAACUUAUGUAGAUAUUGUUUCGUUUGUAAUCAAAACUUGUAUGGAGUCUAGAAAAUGUUUUGUUUCGAUUUCUUCGGUUUUCUACUCUACUCCCAAAAGUAACAUUCCACUAUUUAAUGAACGUAUACACCACAGACCUAUAUAUAUAUUAUAUCGGGACUGAUAAACGGAAACAAAUUCUUAUCCGAUAUUGAUCAAUUCACAGACCUAUAUAUAUAUAUAAUGUUUAGGUACGUAACUUUUUUUUCAAGCUGUAAGGGAAGUCGUCCCAAAUCUAGGAAAAUCGACUUUUUCUGUCUUAGAAAUGUGAUGAUCUUUAAUUUUGAAAGUUUAGAAAUAAUGCAAUACCAUUUUAUCGGAUUUUAAUUAGAAUGGGCUAUUAAUUACAGAUAUACAUAUUCACGCAAAUAAAUGAAAUAAAGCCUUUUCCUGUUGGUUUCCAUUGAGAUAAUGUUUCGCAAAUCCUUGAUCGAAAUAAUUCAUGUUGAUUUAAAUCAUCUUAUGUACAUUUAAAUAGAUUGAUUACAUAGAUCUUUGUAGAUUAUGUAUCUAAAAAUUGCAAAAUAAUAAUUUUGAUUCUAGAUUGCUCUUAUUUUUGACGUUCAAUUACUAGAUCUAGAUCUAAACAUUAAAUCAUAUGUUAUAUAGGUUAGGGUUUAAAAAACAACUUCUUAUUACUACUUUAUAUAACAACACCUUGUUUCAGCUUUUUUGAAGUUUUUCACAACAUUGUUUUGUAGUGUUAAAAGAUCUCCAUGUCCAGUCUAGAUAGAAUAUAUAUAGGUCUGUGGUAUACACAUUGAGUGUGUGUAUAGUUCCAGGUUUACAUUCCUCGUGUUUGCAGACAUUUUGUAUUGCUGCUUUUUUUUUUU